This 1564-nucleotide ribosomal RNA is filed under the name Salmonella enterica subsp. enterica serovar Virchow. Its description in RNAcentral is "partial 23S ribosomal RNA". It matches the Rfam family "Bacterial large subunit ribosomal RNA", at positions 694 to 2238 of the family's 2925-position model. Lineage: Bacteria; Pseudomonadati; Pseudomonadota; Gammaproteobacteria; Enterobacterales; Enterobacteriaceae. The record is from RNAcentral.
GUUAAGUUGCAGGGUAUAGACCCGAAACCCGGUGAUCUAGCCAUGGGCAGGUUGAAGGUUGGGUAACACUAACUGGAGGACCGAACCGACUAAUGUUGAAAAAUUAGCGGAUGACCUGUGGCUGGGGGUGAAAGGCCAAUCAAACCGGGAGAUAGCUGGUUCUCCCCGAAAGCUAUUUAGGUAGCGCCUCGUGAAUUCAUCUCCGGGGGUAGAGCACUGUUUCGGCUAGGGGGCCAUCCCGGCUUACCAACCCGAUGCAAACUGCGAAUACCGGAGAAUGUUAUCACGGGAGACACACGGCGGGUGCUAACGUCCGUCGUGAAGAGGGAAACAACCCAGACCGCCAGCUAAGGUCCCAAAGUCAUGGUUAAGUGGGAAACGAUGUGGGAAGGCCCAGACAGCCAGGAUGUUGGCUUAGAAGCAGCCAUCAUUUAAAGAAAGCGUAAUAGCUCACUGGUCGAGUCGGCCUGCGCGGAAGAUGUAACGGGGCUAAACCAUGCACCGAAGCUGCGGCAGCGACGCUGAUGCGUUGUUGGGUAGGGGAGCGUUCUGUAAGCCUGUGAAGGUGGCCUGUGAGGGUUGCUGGAGGUAUCAGAAGUGCGAAUGCUGACAUAAGUAACGAUAAAGCGGGUGAAAAGCCCGCUCGCCGGAAGACCAAGGGUUCCUGUCCAACGUUAAUCGGGGCAGGGUGAGUCGACCCCUAAGGCGAGGCCGAAAGGCGUAGUCGAUGGGAAACGGGUUAAUAUUCCCGUACUUGGUGUUACUGCGAAGGGGGGACGGAGAAGGCUAUGUUGGCCGGGCGACGGUUGUCCCGGUUUAAGCGUGUAGGUGUGUGUUCCAGGUAAAUCCGGUUCACUUUAACACUGAGGCGUGACGACGAGGCACUACGGUGCUGAAGCAACAAAUGCCCUGCUUCCAGGAAAAGCCUCUAAGCAUCAGGUAACAUCAAAUCGUACCCCAAACCGACACAGGUGGUCAGGUAGAGAAUACCAAGGCGCUUGAGAGAACUCGGGUGAAGGAACUAGGCAAAAUGGUGCCGUAACUUCGGGAGAAGGCACGCUGACACGUAGGUGAAGUGAUUUACUCAUGGAGCUGAAGUCAGUCGAAGAUACCAGCUGGCUGCAACUGUUUAUUAAAAACACAGCACUGUGCAAACACGAAAGUGGACGUAUACGGUGUGACGCCUGCCCGGUGCCGGAAGGUUAAUUGAUGGGGUCAGCGCAAGCGAAGCUCCUGAUCGAAGCCCCGGUAAACGGCGGCCGUAACUAUAACGGUCCUAAGGUAGCGAAAUUCCUUGUCGGGUAAGUUCCGACCUGCACGAAUGGCGUAAUGAUGGCCAGGCUGUCUCCACCCGAGACUCAGUGAAAUUGAACUCGCUGUGAAGAUGCAGUGUACCCGCGGCAAGACGGAAAGACCCCGUGAACCUUUACUAUAGCUUGACACUGAACAUUGAGCCUUGAUGUGUAGGAUAGGUGGGAGGCUUUGAAGUGUGGACGCCAGUCUGCAUGGAGCCGACCUUGAAAUACCACCCUUUAAUGUUUGAUGUUCUAACGUGGACCCGUUA